UUCUUUGUAUCUUGUGAAGUUCUUUUGUGAAAGAUUUCUCUAUUGUGAUGAUUGUAUAUAAAAAGGGAAGUACAAUAGAGUAGAGUAGCCUUAGUCAUUUCUUGGUUUACCUGCUUUGGAUUCAUUUGUCGCACAUAUAAACGACUUCAGAAACAAAAUGUAUUCGCUCUAUCAAUUAUGUUUGAUGAUGAUCAUGUUGGUGGUUCUAAUUGCAACCGUUAUGAGUGGUGCAGAAGGUUGCAUAUUCAACUCUGAUUGUCCUCCCAGGCAUUUAUGCUUUAAUGGUCGGUGCGUUAUUCCCGCAUAGAACUAUGAGAUGUUGAUCUAUCUUCCAGCUUAUCCCAUGAUAUUCACAUUACCUUGAUGAAAUAUUACAAAUAUUUUAUAUUCCACAUGGACACAAAUUGUUGGAAAAAUUUUAGCAAUAAUUUGCAGUUCAUAAUUUUGUUACAAGUUACUACAUUUCUGAAAACAAUGUGAAUUAUUUGCUUGUGACUUGUAUUCUUUAUUUAAUUUGUCAUGUUUAAAAACAUUACGUGUGGUUUCGUUUUAUUGGCUGAACAGACAUUUUUAUGUUAUAAUAAAACUGUUGAA
Styela clava is the source of this 594-nucleotide non-coding RNA. The record is from RefSeq and is a predicted model, not a curated record. Lineage: Eukaryota; Metazoa; Chordata; Ascidiacea; Stolidobranchia; Styelidae.